Molecule: transfer RNA, 69 nt
Filed under: Hynobius formosanus (Formosan salamander)
Lineage: Eukaryota; Metazoa; Chordata; Amphibia; Caudata; Hynobiidae
Description: tRNA-Asp
Source: RNAcentral
AAGACAUUAGUAAAAAUAUUACAAAACCUUGUCGUGGUUAAAUUAUAAGUUAAAAUCUUGUACGUCUUU